GUGACAGCUCAGACAUGGGGCAGCCCCCUCAGCUGCCGAAAUGCCAGCCAAUCUCCCAGCAGACUCAGAGCCCACUAUUAUAAACGAAUGCGAUGCAUUAUUUCCCCCCCCACCACCACUUCUCCUUCGGCUGGCACGCGCUCUUAAAUAGAGACUAAGAUCCUUCCCCAUUAAUGACAAAUGUUCAACAAAAGCCAGCGGGGUUAAGAGCGGAAUAAAAAAAAUCACAGCAGCUGUAGUACCGAAGUCCUGGGAGCACUUGGAGAAGCUGGCGGGCAACAAGCAUAACGUCAGCCCCUUUGUUUGGCGUCUCUUUGGUGGAGCCUGCCUUUUGCCCGUGACCAUAAGUGGU
Molecule: long non-coding RNA, 352 nt
Organism: Aquila chrysaetos chrysaetos
Lineage: Eukaryota; Metazoa; Chordata; Aves; Accipitriformes; Accipitridae
Exons: 3
Source: RefSeq, a predicted model, not a curated record